This 491-nucleotide ribosomal RNA is filed under the name uncultured bacterium. RNAcentral's name for it is "partial 16S ribosomal RNA". It matches the Rfam family "Bacterial small subunit ribosomal RNA", at positions 29 to 507 of the family's 1533-position model. The record is from RNAcentral.
AGUGAACGCUGGCGGUAGGCCUAACACAUGCAAGUCGAACGGCAGCACAGUAAGAGCUUGCUCUUACGGGUGGCGAGUGGCGGACGGGUGAGGAAUACAUCGGAAUCUACUUUUCGUGGGGGAUAACGUAGGGAAACUUACGCUAAUACCGCAUACGACCUACGGGUGGAAGCAGGGGAUCUUCGGACCUUGCGCGAUUGAAUGAGCCGAUGUCGGAUUAGCUAGUUGGCGGGGUAAAGGCCCACCAAGGCGACGAUCCGUAGCUGGUCUGAGAGGAUGAUCAGCCACACUGGAACUGAGACACGGUCCAGACUCCUACGGGAGGCAGCAGUGGGGAAUAUUGGACAAUGGGCGCAAGCCUGAUCCAGCCAUACCGCGUGGGUGAAGAAGGCCUUCGGGUUGUAAAGCCCUUUUGUUGGGAAAGAAAAGCAGCAGGUUAAUACCCCGCUGUUCUGACGGUACCCAAAGAAUAAGCACCGGCUAACUUCGUG